This 497-nucleotide ribosomal RNA is filed under the name uncultured bacterium. RNAcentral's name for it is "partial 16S ribosomal RNA". It matches the Rfam family "Bacterial small subunit ribosomal RNA", at positions 28 to 507 of the family's 1533-position model. The record is from RNAcentral.
GAUGAACGCUGGCGGCGUGCCUAAUACAUGCAAGUCGAGCGAACAGACGAGGAGCUUGCUCCUCUGACGUUAGCGGCGGACGGGUGAGUAACACGUGGAUAACCUACCUAUAAGACUGGGAUAACUUCGGGAAACCGGAGCUAAUACCGGAUAAUAUAUUGAACCGCAUGGUUCAAUAGUGAAAGACGGUUUUGCUGUCACUUAUAGAUGGAUCCGCGCCGCAUUAGCUAGUUGGUAAGGUAACGGCUUACCAAGGCAACGAUGCGCAGCCGACGUGAGAGGGUGAUCGGCCACACUGGAACGGAGACACGGUCCAGACUCCUACGGGAGGCAGCAGUAGGGAAUCGUCCGCAAUGGGGGAAAGCCUGACGGAGCAACGCCGCGUGAGUGAUGAAGGUCUUCGGAUCGUAAAGCUCUGUUAUUAGUGAAGAACAAAUGUGUAAGUAACUAUGCACGUCUUGACGGUACCUAAUCAGAAAGCCACGGCUAACUACGUG